UACGAGGGCCCCAAGCAUUAUCCGGAUUUAUUGGGCGUAAAGCGUCCGUAGGUGGUUUAUCGCAUCUCCUGUUAAAUCUCGAGGCUCAACCUCGAGUCAGCGGGAGAGAUGGACAAACUAGAGAUUGGAAGAGGCAAACGGAAUUGCUGGUGUAGGGGUUAAAUCCAUUAAUAUCAGCAAGAACACCAAAUGCGAAGGCAGUUUGCUAGGACAAAUCUGACACUCAGUGGACGAAAGCGUGGGGAGCGAAUGGG
This 254-nucleotide ribosomal RNA is filed under the name uncultured bacterium. RNAcentral describes it as "partial 16S ribosomal RNA". It matches the Rfam family "Bacterial small subunit ribosomal RNA", at positions 524 to 776 of the family's 1533-position model. The record is from RNAcentral.